This 29-nucleotide non-coding RNA is filed under the name Rattus norvegicus (Norway rat). The record is from RNAcentral. Lineage: Eukaryota; Metazoa; Chordata; Mammalia; Rodentia; Muridae.
UGAUCUAGGAGGGUCUUUUAACUCCUGCC